Molecule: long non-coding RNA, 382 nt
Filed under: Homo sapiens (human)
Lineage: Eukaryota; Metazoa; Chordata; Mammalia; Primates; Hominidae
Description: HSALNT0400362
Source: RNAcentral
GGAGGGGUGGGGCAGAAGAAAGGGGCCGUGUGCGCCCACAUACUGGAGGAUCAACAUUAUCAUGGCAACCCUGAGGAGGCUGUGAGAGUCUCUGGGGUCCUUGCCGGCCUGCAGAAAAUCAAGCUUUGAGCGGGAAGCUUCGAGGAGACACAGUGUCACAAUUACAAGGUUCCAGCAUUUGGAGGCAAACAUGAAGCUCCAUCCUCUCCAAUUCUGGGGCAACCGUGUGGAGAUGAUCAAAAUGCUUCACCUUCAAAACUUUCAAAGGAAGAGUUAAUACAGAGUAUGGAUCGUGUAGAUCGAGAAAUUGCAAAAGUAGAACAGCAGAUCCUUAAACUGAAAAAGAAACAAGUAAAAGUCUUUGCCUAAUAUAUUCUAAGAA